CGCGUGUAUGUGAGUCUCUAAAGCUGUUCCCCAUGCACUCAGCUUUGCCUUCAACCAAAAGAAGGUUCACUGUUUUGAAGGGAGGGUCCGUGAGACGUUUUAACACCUACAGUACUUGCCAUUGGCACCUCAUAAGAUGAGAACAUCUGAGACAUAGUUGACAUUAAAUGAAACGCAACCGAGAUCUCUAUCAAGUCUCCUAAGCGACUUCUGAACAACUGAAACAGGCAUGCAUUAGAGCAUUAUGAUGCAACUUCCAUGAUAUUAUAUGAAGUCACUUCCUCUGCACUUGGAAUUGAACCCAACGUCUAAAAACUUGAAUUUCUAUAAAAGCGACUUGUUGGAUAUUCUGAGCAACUUGAUAAAUGUUUAUCCUAAACCUGUAUAGGUUCUCCUGCGGUGCGGCUGCAAGUCCUUUUGGGGCUGUGAAUGACAAAGGUCACUGGUUUUUAUUACCCCCCUCAUUAAAUUGCACCCUGGCCUUGUAACACAGUCUACAAAUGGAAGCAGAACAAAUGGACGACAUUGUGCACAGAGCAAAGUUCUGCUGGUACGAAUUGGAUUCUCUGUUGAUGAGUGAUUUGUUGUCAUUGCCUGUGGCCGAUCAUUUACAUUUGCUACGAGCAACAAAAAUCCAUAUGAAGUACAGACACUAUGCAGAUUAUAUACGCUUUCACUCGCUGUACAAACAGACAAUGAAUACACGACUUACAGCUUUUCACAAGUUGAGAAUCAACACACAAAGCUGCAACAAGGUUUACAUUUACAAACAUUUGUCACGAUAAAAUAAAAAAAAUUGUUACCACUAAAAUCAGUAUCUUAUCACGGCUGGGUUUCCCGAUAACGAUUGAACUUAGCUCUUAAGAGCGCUUUCUACGAGCUACUUGACGAACAUUCAUUGUUCAUUUACAUGCGUUUCCCAAAGAUGCACUUAUAACGAUCACUCGCAGCUGAGUUUUAAGUGCUACUUACGAGUCGCUAUCCGUUUGUCAAGUGCUGAAAUGUCACCAAUAGAAUGACUCAAAUUUGUAGCACAAGCUUGUUUUUAGGCUAAUGAUCUUUAGCCGAUGUGCACUAAUAUUUUUUAUAAUAUUUUUUAUUAUUGUUCAAUGACUUUUUAAAUGUUUUAAAAUUGUUCAUAAUGAAAUAUUCUUUUCUGUAUUUAGUUAGGACUCGUCCCACUCCGAAAUGCCUUCUGCAUUUUAUAUUAUAGCUUAGAUUAUUAUUAAUAUUUGUUGUUUAUUAUCUAUGUUUAUUUAUUAUUAGGGAUUAUUGCAUUGUAGCGUAAAUAUUUAUUUGGUUUCUUUAAUCAGAUGCCAUACCCUUCAAAAAAAAUUUUUACUGUAGCCUAGAUGAAUUAUAGCAGCAAUUGGUAGGAACCAUUUAUCAAUUUGCUGGUACCAACUUUUUCCAAAAUUGUACCAAAUACGUUUUCCUUCUUUAUUAAUUUAUGCUUAGUCAUUUAAAUUUUAUUUCUUAUUUGAAUUUUAAAUAUAUUUUAUUUAAGUAAUUUGAACAAAUAAACAAAGAAAACCCCAAUAAAUAA
Molecule: non-coding RNA, 1546 nt
Organism: Misgurnus anguillicaudatus (oriental weatherfish)
Lineage: Eukaryota; Metazoa; Chordata; Actinopteri; Cypriniformes; Cobitidae
Source: RefSeq, a predicted model, not a curated record